AAAGUCUGAUGGAGCACGCCGCGUGAGUGAAGAAGGGUUUCGGCUCGUAAAACUCUGUUGUUGAAGAAGAACAUAUCUGAGAGUAACUGUUCAGGUAUUGACGGUAUUUAACCAGAAAGCCACGGCUAACUACGUGCCAGCAGCCGCGGUAAUACGUAGGUGGCAAGCGUUGUCCGGAUUUAUUGGGCGUAAAGCGAGCGCAGGCGGUUUUUUAAGUCUGAUGUGAAAGCCUUCGGCUCAACCGAAGAAGUGCAUCGGAAACUGGGAAACUUGAGUGCAGAAGAGGACAGUGGAACUCCAUGUGUAGCGGUGAAAUGCGUAGAUAUAUGGAAGAACACCAGUGGCGAAGGCGGCUGUCUGGUCUGUAACUGACGCUGAGGCUCGAAAGUAUGGGUAGCAAACAGGAUUAGAUAACCUGGUAGUCA
RNAcentral lists this ribosomal RNA (425 nucleotides) under Lactiplantibacillus plantarum. Its description in RNAcentral is "bacterial SSU rRNA". It matches the Rfam family "Bacterial small subunit ribosomal RNA", at positions 378 to 796 of the family's 1533-position model. The record is from RNAcentral. Lineage: Bacteria; Bacillati; Bacillota; Bacilli; Lactobacillales; Lactobacillaceae.